CUGUCAGUUUAAAAGAAAAAUCAAAUUUAAUAAGAGUUGCUUUUUAGAUAAUUCAAGUUAUUUAUUCAACAUUUCAAAGAAAUCUUUCGUACCAGACGAAGAUCUGAUCCGGAAGGUAGAAGAGCAACGAUCCAGAAGGUGAGCAAACAACGGGUUUUCCGGUCACUACGGAUGCAGCAGCUUCACCGGCCACCGUUUAUGUUUUGAUGAAAACACCGCAGUCAGAAUGGCCAGAAGGAAGCCGACUAGAUGCCACCAGUUCCGCUCUCUCAAUCCGGAUUUCGGGACGAUUGUGCCUGCCGAUGUGCUUGUCGGUCUACUGUCCAACCCAGCGCGGAGGACUUGAAGAAAGAUUCCUUCAAGUUCGCCAAUGCUGUCAAAUCAGCUCCUCAUCUGUUCUGCGACAGAUAAAGAAGCCGGGAAGAAGGAAGCUGCUCUAGUUCAGGCCGUCACGGCAGAAGAUCCCCACUGAAAUCAGGUCCAAUGCCACCGGAAAGCCCAAACAAGUAAGCGGGAUGAACUGCCAUUAUUCUUAAAUGUCUUCUGAGCAAAAAAAAACUUGAAUGCUUCUCUGA
Molecule: long non-coding RNA, 575 nt
Organism: Culex quinquefasciatus (southern house mosquito)
Lineage: Eukaryota; Metazoa; Arthropoda; Insecta; Diptera; Culicidae
Exons: 2
Source: RefSeq, a predicted model, not a curated record